UNCGAUUGUACUUCUUCUCUGCCUCUUAGU
This 30-nucleotide non-coding RNA is filed under the name Mus musculus (house mouse). The record is from RNAcentral. Lineage: Eukaryota; Metazoa; Chordata; Mammalia; Rodentia; Muridae.